Molecule: ribosomal RNA, 467 nt
Filed under: uncultured bacterium
Lineage: Bacteria
Description: partial 16S ribosomal RNA
Rfam family: Bacterial small subunit ribosomal RNA
Source: RNAcentral
ACGCACGCUGGCGGCAUGCUUCACACAUGCAAGUCGCACGGAAAGGCCCUGCUUUUGUGGGGUGCUCGAGUGGCGAACGGGUGAGUAACACGUGAGUAACCUGCCCUUGACUUUGGGAUAACUUCAGGAAACUGGGGCUAAUACCGGAUAGGAGCUCCUGCUGCAUGGUGGGGGUUGGAAAGUUUCGGCGGUUGGGGAUGGACUCGCGGCUUAUCAGCUUGUUGGUGGGGUAGUGGCUUACCAAGGCUUUGACGGGUAGCCGGCCUGAGAGGGUGACCGGCCACAUUGGGACUGAGAUACGGCCCAGACUCCUACGGGAGGCAGCAGUGGGGAAUAUUGCACAAUGGGCGGAAGCCUGAUGCAGCAACGCCGCGUGCGGGAUGACGGCCUUCGGGUUGUAAACCGCUUUCGCCUGUGACGAAGCGUGAGUGACGGUAAUGGGUAAAGAAGCACCGGCUAACUACGUG